CAGGAAAGAAUAAACAAUCCAGAAAAAGAGAAUGAACUCUUGAACAAAAACUAUGAUAAGCUGCAUAAGUGUCUUCUGUAUGACCCAUGAACAGCAAUGGAAAUCAAAGGAACAGCAAAUGAAACUGCAAAUUGCUAAACUAGAGAUGGCUAUCAAAUCUGAUUUAGCAGACAAAAAUGCAAUCCUUGACAAGAUCAAAGUAGAAAGAGCAUAUGAGACAGGAGGUUAAACAAGAAAGGCUAGAAGAUGAUAAGGUGGAGAUGGCUGAAGAAAUUUAACAGGAGGCAGAAAAGCUCUCACAUCUGUCAGAGGAGCAGUUAGCUGACCAAACAUCAAUUACUUCUGGAAAUGAGAGAGAAAUAACUGAAGGAUUGGAACCAGAAGGUAGAAUUCAUCUUUAUGAAUAAGUAACUGUAUUUUGUUAAUAAAUCUAUGUCUCUUUCCAUUUUCUUAAGCAUUUCUUACUAGCAGUGGGAGCUGCCUUGUUAUGAGAAGCUCCAUGACAGAAAUUAUAUUCUGGCGUACUUUAUAGCUGAAGCUGGGUAGUGGAUAUGGUGGUGUUAUUUUCUUCCCAAAUGGAAACUGUAUCAUAAUUGAAUGCAAAAAUCUGGUAUCUGACCUAGAUUCAUAAAAUAUUAAGGGAAACCUGGCUUCUAUUUUAAAUGUCUUUAUAUUCUCCCUUAGAACUAUGCUGUUCUAAAGACCAUUUUAAUGAAUAUGCUCCUUUUGUCUGCAGAUAACAGCCAAUGCUGCUAUUGGAAAUCCUUUCAGACAGAGAGAGAGGUAGUAUGUCUUAUCAUAUUCGUGACUUAAAGUUGUUAGAGGCAGAUUUAUUUAAAGAUUAUAAAAGGCAGGUCAUCCUGUUCCACCUCUGAGCUUAAACUGUUUAUCAUUGAAGUAGACCAAGUCCACAAUACCAAGUUUACAGUAAAAGCACAAACAGAAUGCUAGAAUUUCAUGUUCAUUUGUUUGCAGCUUCUGUGUAAGACUACAUUAGAAAAAUUGGGAAAAAUAUGAUGUUGAAUCCCUGGUGUGUUUAUAAGUAAUUUGCUUCAGAGGAGAAAAACCCAAAAUGCUCUGAAAUAAUCCACCUGCAUACAGAAUUUUUUUUUUCUUUUAAAAAAGGAUAAAUAUAUCUUUAUGUGUGCAUGGUGUUAAACAUAGUCAGAGGAAAUCCACAAAUUCAAGCCAUAGUCCUGUAUAAAGCUAACAGUUGUUCGUACCUCAAUCCAUCACGGGACUUCUAUCAUUCCAGUCCUCAACUUUCAUCGGGGAAGCACUGCUUUUUUAUUUUGACAAACCAGAAAAAAAUGCAUCUAAAUACAUUUAGAUGACUAUAAAGGUCAUUGAUUUGCAGGGUUAAUCUUCUGCAAGGAAGAGAAGAUUUGCCUGGCAGUUAUUCUUCAUUUGUUAGUAAAGCACCUAUAUUGUUGUCAGACUCCUCAGCAAAACUCUGAUGGACUGCAGUAAAGGGGUUUAACCACAUUGAUUUUUCCAAUGUUUUUCACAUCAAGGUGAUAGUCCUCUUGAAGCAAUAAAAUCUGACAGAAAUGACUGUAUUAUUUCAAGUCCAUUAUCCAGUAAUAUUAAACAGCUGAGUCAGAAUGUAUAUGGCAAUUAUUUGGCCAGACUAAAAAAUAUUUUAAACCUAAUGCUGUCUAAGAGUAGCUUUGCUGUAUCUACCAUCAGUUUCCUGUAAAGUUAUAUAUGUACAGUAUCAAAUCACUUCAGUGUACAUCUUUUUCUAUUAUUAUUUGUGGGCAAGUGCACUAAUCAUGUUCUCUUGAUUUAUGCUUAAAACCAGCAAUUAAUUACCACAAAGACAUAUAUAAAAAAUAAGACCACAUUAAUACAAAUUUGGAAAAUUUUCUUGGAACAGUGUUUCAGUAGAAUAGUUCUGAAAAAAAAAAUCAUAUUUUCUAAUCUAAAUUUGACUGAACAAUGUUAAAAAAUAUAAAACUAGUAAGUAAAAUUGAUGACAGUGCUUCUAGCAGUUAAUACUUCUCUGAUCUGUCUCAGCCUUCUUUUAAAGGACCAGGGCUAUACUGUUAGAUCCUAUCAGACUUCAUGGUUUGUUAUGUUCUGCAGUGUGAUAUCCUAGAGGUAGCUUGAUUUUUUUUAAAUGCUCUUUUCAAGGCUGUGAAACAUCCUACAAAGCAACAAGAAGCAAUUCUUUGUAUGAGAAAUGUAGCUGUUCUUUUGUAAAAGCUGUAGAAGAGGUUUUGAAAUGCUAUCACUCAUGUAUUCUUCAGAAAAAUGCAGAGAGUACUUUUGAAGAUGGAAUUGCAUUGUUUAUAUGUAUAAUUUUAGAAACAAUUGACACCUGUAAUUUUGAGAACUAAAAUUAGUGCUACUCAUCUCUAUUAAUUCCAAAUAUAAUACACUUGUUUAUAAUUUUCUGGUCAUGUAUUUUAUCACAGUCAUUUAAGAGCUCUUCUGUGAGAACUUUGUGUAGAUUUAUUUCAGGUUCAUCAAUUUCUACCUUUCCCCAUUGAUCUGUUCUUGUGGUAACAAAAAUGCAUGUUCAUGAAGGGUAGAUGAAACAAUAAAACCUCUGAACUAUUAAGACAACAAGUAUAUUUGAUACAGAUUAGAUUUUUAAAAUAUGCAUUGGUUUAUAUGAAUUCUUGGGUUAAUUAUGGAAUACAGCAUGUCAAAAUUGUUACUGAAUUUGUAUUUUUUAAGAUUAAAAAUCACUGCCUUUUAUCUUUUGAGAUAAAUAUCCUGCUGGUAAUCAAACAGUGUAAAUAAAACUUGUGAUUUUUGGAGAUCGUUAUGCUAAUUAUCCCCUAGAUCUGAGUUAUAUGCCAAACUGUUUAAGCCAUUUAAGAUCACACUGAGGUUAUUUUGCAUGUUGCAAAUUAGACAGUUCAUGGUUAUUUCUUAGAUAUGUUGAUCACAAAGGGUAUCUAACAGAUUUUCCACUACUUAACUGUACCACUUGCUUCUUUCUCUUUUCUUCUUGUCUAUGAUGUAUGAUUAAUCAUAGAUUACUUCAUUUUGUUUCAUUUCAUUUACAACAUUUAUGAGCUUCACUUUGUCGGUAUGAAAUGCUUGUCCCCUUCUUUCCUUUCCAAAGUGGCAUAAUUAGUGUUAGCAUCUUUUUUAACAGGCUACAUAAAGUUUAGUGGCUGGAUUAAAUCAAGUCAUUAACAUAAUGUGCUAUACAAUUUGCCCCUAUCUCUUUUCGUUUCCAGUACAUCAAAGUGCCACAGAGUGCCAGUGUAAUUGGGCCUUGCUAGCUUGUCAGGUUCAGUCAGGCUGAUGGCUGCUGCUUUUACUAAAAAGCUUCCAGGCAUGAUAAUUAAUAGAGAAAAGAAGUCUGAGAAAUGUAAAAGUUUGGACAGUUCUCUAUGAAUAUUUCAUACAUUUGAAUAAUCAGAAGUUAACAUUAUCAAUUUGAUGUAUAAUACAUUGAUUAAAAGCCUUGUUUCAGAUCCUCAAAAUAGACAUCAAAACUGGGAAUUUGCAUUUUCUUUGGCAUGGUCUUUAUAUUAAAAAAAAAAAAUUAAAAAAUCUUUUCUCUUCCAUCCCCUCCUCCUUUACACUCCCACAUCUACACCAAAUCCAUACAGGAAAUUAUAUAGCAUUCAGUUUUCACAAUGAAAUUUACUGCUGUCAACUUCCAAGUUGUCUUAAAAUGUGCCAUGAGGCAAUUACUGGCAAACCCAAUUUGUUUGGUAGUGGUUCUGGUUUUUGCUCUCUUUUUUUCUUGCAGAUGCCACAAGUGCAUUCUCUUGCUCUAACAGCAGUUUACUGAUAGCAGCCAUUAUCUGUACCUGUAAAUUAAGAUAUCAAGUUGUAACCAAUUUUGACAUGGAAAUCUUUCUUAAACAGCAAAAAAGCCAUACCAAGUGCUCAUGGUUCUCCUGGUGAAGGGCACAAGCUUGUGCUAAGGCGAGAAGUUGUAAAGCUUCAAGGUUAUGUAUAGCAAAUCAAUAAAAACUAUUCCUUUUACUAUGGUUUUUUUUGGGUACAAUUACUUGAAUAUUGAAUUACUUGUAUUUCCACCUAUGUGCUAGCUGUAUUCAUUUAAAAAAGGAAAUUAUUUGGAUAUUGUAUUGCAGUUUUAAAUUUUGGCUGAUACGAUUCCUCUUUACACUUAUUUUCUGCAGGACCUGAAUGUCUUUAGUGUACUUCAGGGAGAUUUUUGAGUGUUCAAUUUUUUAUUUCUCAACUUGGCUUGUUUUGUAGAUUUAAUCUGAAUUUAGUGAAUUUAGAGAAUUAAAUUUCAGGGUUUUAGUAUUACCCUGUGUUACUGACCUGGCUCAAUUCUACCAUGCCAGAAAUACUAAUCCUUUGUGUUCUUCUACUCCUGUAUAGAAGUAACCUCUGUUUCUUUGUGUUUUUCUUCUGUAAAAAAUUGGGGAAUUAAAAGUGCUGCACCGGCUUAUUUAAUAAAACAAGAAAUAAAAUCU
Molecule: long non-coding RNA, 4418 nt
Organism: Melozone crissalis (California towhee)
Lineage: Eukaryota; Metazoa; Chordata; Aves; Passeriformes; Passerellidae
Exons: 3
Source: RefSeq, a predicted model, not a curated record